Molecule: ribosomal RNA, 253 nt
Filed under: uncultured bacterium
Lineage: Bacteria
Description: partial 16S ribosomal RNA
Rfam family: Bacterial small subunit ribosomal RNA
Source: RNAcentral
UACGGGGGGAGCAAGCGUUGUUCGGAUUUACUGGGCGUAAAGGGCGCGUAGGCGGACAGUUUAGUCAGAGGUGAGAGCCCAGGGCUCAACCUUGGAAUUGCCUUUGAUACUGGCUGUCUUGAGUUCGGGAGAGGUGAGUGGAAUGCCGAGUGUAGAGGUGAAAUUCGUAGAUAUUCGGCGGAACACCAGUGGCGAAGGCGACUCACUGGCCCGAUACUGACGCUGAGGCGCGAAAGCGUGGGGAGCAAACAGG